Molecule: ribosomal RNA, 253 nt
Filed under: uncultured bacterium
Lineage: Bacteria
Description: partial 16S ribosomal RNA
Rfam family: Archaeal small subunit ribosomal RNA
Source: RNAcentral
UACCAGCACCCCGAGUGGUCGGGACGAUUAUUGGGCCUAAAGCAUCCGUAGCCGGUUUUACAAGUCCUCCGUUAAAUCCAGCUGCUUAACAGAUGGGCUGCGGAGGAUACUAUAGAGCUAGGAGGCGGGAGAGGCAAGCGGUACUUAGUGGGUAGGGGUAAAAUCCGUUGAUCCAUUGAAGACCACCAGUGGCGAAGGCGGCUUGCUAGAACGCACUCGACGGUGAGGGAUGAAAGCUGGGGGAGCAAACCGG